GCGCAGCAGGCGCGAAAACUUUACAAUGCAGGCAGCUGUGAUAAGGGAACCCCGAGUGCCCGUAUGGACGGGCUGGUCAGGUGCUUAAAAACCACCUGGAGAAAGGGCCGGGCAAGACCGGUGCCAGCCGCCGCGGUAAUACCGGCGGCUCGAGUGGUGGCCACUAUUACUGGGCUUAAAGCGUCCGUAGCUUGGUCGUUAAGCCUCUGGGGAAAUCUUUCGGCUCAACCGGAAGGCGUCUCAGGGGAACUGGCGACCUAGGGAUCGGGAGAGGUGAGAGGUACUCUGGGGGUAGGAGUGAAAUCCUGUAAUCCUCAGGGGACCACCUGUGGCGAAGGCGUCUCACCAGAACGACUCCGACAGUGAGGGACGAAAGCUGGGGGAGCAAACCGGAUUAGAUACCCGGGUAGUCCCAGCCGUAAACGAUGCGCGUUAGGUGUAUCGGUGACCACGAGUUACCGAGGUGCCGAAGGGAAACCGUGAAACGCGCCGCCUGGGAAGUACGGUCGCAAGGCUGAAACUUAAAGGAAUUGGCGGGGGAGCACCACAAUGGGUGGAGCCUGCGGUUUAAUUGGAUUCAACGCCGGA
This 588-nucleotide ribosomal RNA is filed under the name uncultured Methanomicrobiales archaeon. Its description in RNAcentral is "bacterial SSU rRNA". It matches the Rfam family "Archaeal small subunit ribosomal RNA", at positions 330 to 922 of the family's 1478-position model. The record is from RNAcentral. Lineage: Archaea; Methanobacteriati; Methanobacteriota; Methanomicrobia; Methanomicrobiales.